RNAcentral lists this ribosomal RNA (253 nucleotides) under uncultured bacterium. Its description in RNAcentral is "partial 16S ribosomal RNA". It matches the Rfam family "Bacterial small subunit ribosomal RNA", at positions 524 to 776 of the family's 1533-position model. The record is from RNAcentral.
UACGAAGGGGGCUAGCAUUGCUCGGAAUCACUGGGCGUAAAGGGUGCGUAGGCGGGUCUUUAAGUCAGGGGUGAAAUCCUGGAGCUCAACUCCAGAACUGCCUUUGAUACUGAAGAUCUUGAGUUCGGGAGAGGUGAGUGGAACUGCGAGUGUAGAGGUGAAAUUCGUAGAUAUUCGCAAGAACACCAGUGGCGAAGGCGGCUCACUGGCCCGAUACUGACGCUGAUGCACGAAAGCGUGGGGAGCAAACAGG